CUACCCUUGACAUGUAUGGAAUCCUGCUGAGAGGUGGGAGUGCCCGAAAGGGAGCCAUAACACAGGUGCUGCAUGGCUGUCGUCAGCUCGUGUCGUGAGAUGUUGGGUUAAGUCCCGCAACGAGCGCAACCCUUGUCCCUAGUUGCUACGCAAGAGCACUCUAGGGAGACUGCCGGUGACAAACCGGAGGAAGGUGGGGAUGACGUCAAGUCCUCAUGGCCCUUAUGGGUAGGGCUUCACACGUCAUACAAUGGUCGGAACAGAGGGUCGCCAACCCGCGAGGGGGAGCCAAUCCCAGAAAACCGAUCGUAGUCCGGAUUGCAGUCUGCAACUCGACUGCAUGAAGUUGGAAUCGCUAGUAAUCGAGGAUCAGCAUGCCUCGGUGAAUA
RNAcentral lists this ribosomal RNA (389 nucleotides) under uncultured bacterium. Its description in RNAcentral is "bacterial SSU rRNA". It matches the Rfam family "Bacterial small subunit ribosomal RNA", at positions 975 to 1368 of the family's 1533-position model. The record is from RNAcentral.